Long non-coding RNA from Mauremys reevesii (Reeves's turtle), 796 nucleotides. RefSeq lists it as uncharacterized. The transcript is spliced from 3 exons. NCBI's taxonomy places the organism in Eukaryota, Metazoa, Chordata, Testudines, Geoemydidae. The record is from RefSeq and is a predicted model, not a curated record.
AAACCAACAGUGCUGAGCCAAAGUCCUCAUAGUAUGGAAGUGGGAGACCCUGCUGGCCAUAGAUACAUGCAGAGAGGAAUGAAGGCGUAGUGAUUAAAGAGCUGACUAGGCAGCCAGACCCUGACAAACGAAUCCAUCUUCUCACAUCAGGCCUCCCAUUGUUCUCUUACAAGAACCAGGAUUCCAGGAAGACAAGCAACAAGGUUUCUUAAAAAGAGACUUUGGGGAAAAAAAACCUCUCCUCGCUCAUCCCACUUUGCAUCACAGCUUGUCUUAUCCACCUCAUCUCAUUUUCCCUGGCCAAGAGAGAAGGAGCAGACCAGAAGGAAAGACUUUCUUCCUGAGUGGAAGGCAAGCAGGCCUUUCUCUUGUUUAAGGAACUUCAAAGUCCUGAAAACCAUCAUAUCAUCAUGGCUUCCAGUCCUCAGCCCAUCAGUGGGGAGACCCAAUUGCCAGCAUCUCAGAAGCAUGUUAAGCACCUGUUUUGUUCCCUCCCUUUUGUGUUGUUCUCCCUCCACCCAUACCUCACUCUUUUGGCUUUUCAUCAAGUCCUAAAAUCAACUGCACUGCAUCAGCAAGAUGAGCUGCCCACAACUCUGCCCCGUCUAAGGAGAAAAGGCCCAGCCAGAUGAUGUCCGUGACCCAGGGUCCAAGCAAAAGGUCCCAGCCAAUGUAUCUAUUUGUGAUUGACCAGCUGCUCAGCGUUCCAAAGACAUCAUGAAAAGCAGUCUCUCUCCUGCACCUUGUCUGUUAGACACAGGAGAAGUUAAGACCCUUUACACAUCAGGCUUGAAAG